AUUGAACGCUGGCGGCAGGCCUAACACAUGCAAGUCGAACGGUAACAGGAAGAAGCUUGCUUCUUUGCUGACGAGUGGCGGACGGGUGAGUAAUGUCUGGGAAACUGCCUGAUGGAGGGGGAUAACUACUGGAAACGGUAGCUAAUACCGCAUAACGUCGCAAGACCAAAGAGGGGGACCUUCGGGCCUCUUGCCAUCGGCUGUGCCCAGAUGGGAUUAGCUAGUAGGUGGGGUAACGGCUCACCUAGGCGACGAUCCCUAGCUGGUCUGAGAGGAUGACCAGCCACACUGGAACUGAGACACGGUCCAGACUCCUACGGGAGGCAGCAGUGGGGAAUAUUGCACAAUGGGCGCAAGCCUGAUGCAGCCAUGCCGCGUGUAUGAAGAAGGCCUUCGGGUUGUAAAGUACUUUCAGCGGGGAGGAAGGGAGUAAAGUUAAUACCUUGGCUCAUUGACGUUACCCGCAGAAGAAGCACCGGCUAACUCCGUG
This 490-nucleotide ribosomal RNA is filed under the name uncultured bacterium. RNAcentral's name for it is "partial 16S ribosomal RNA". It matches the Rfam family "Bacterial small subunit ribosomal RNA", at positions 30 to 507 of the family's 1533-position model. The record is from RNAcentral.